Molecule: ribosomal RNA, 596 nt
Filed under: uncultured bacterium
Lineage: Bacteria
Description: bacterial SSU rRNA
Rfam family: Bacterial small subunit ribosomal RNA
Source: RNAcentral
AACGGACGCUGGCGGCAGGCUUAACACAUGCAAGUCGAACGCCCCGCAAGGGGAGUGGCAGACGGGUGAGUAACGCGUGGGAACAUACCCUUUCCUGCGGAAUAGCUCCGGGAAACUGGAAUUAAUACCGCAUACGCCCUACGGGGAAAGAUUUAUCGGGGAAGGAUUGGCCCGCGUUGGAUUAGCUAGUUGGUGGGGUAAAGGCCUACCAAGGCGACGAUCCAUAGCUGGUCUGAGAGGAUGAUCAGCCACAUUGGGACUGAGACACGGCCCAAACUCCUACGGGAGGCAGCAGUGGGGAAUAUUGGACAAUGGGCGCAAGCCUGAUCCAGCCAUGCCGCGUGAGUGAUGAAGGCCUUAGGGUUGUAAAGCUCUUCACCGAUGAAGAUAAUGACGGUAGUCGGAGAAGAAGCCCCGGCUCAACUUCGUGCCAGCAGCCGCGGUAAUACGAAGGGGGCUAGCGUUGUUCGGAAUUACUGGGCGUAAAGCGCACGUAGGCGGAUAUUUAAGUCAGGGGUGAAAUCCCGCAGCUCAACUGCGGUAAGCUGCCUUUGAUACUGGGUAUCUUGAGUAUGGAAGAGGUAAGUGGAAUUCCG